GCUGGUGUAUUUGGCCGAGAAUCCCAGGGCUUUCAAGGGCAUUUUCAAGAGUCAACUCCCUGUGAUUUGGAAAUCUAACAAGAAGGCGUGGGUUACCUUAAUGGUCUUCGAAGAUUGGUUCAAUGACCAUUUCGUGCCAGCAGUUGAGCGGUAUUUGACUUCGAAGGGUCUGCCUUUUAAGGCCCUCUUAGUCCUGGACAAUGCCCCUGGUCACCCUUCAAAUUUGAGCGACAUGCAUCCUAAUGUGAAGGUGGUGUACCUCCCACCCAAUACCACAUCGCUGAUACAGCCAAUGGACCAGGGAGUAAUAGCUAAUUUCAAGGCUUACUACCUUAGAAGGACCAUACGUUUUGCUUUGAGGGCCAUAGAAGCUAACAAGGAGUUGACACUGAAGCAAUUCUGGAAGGGCUACAACAUUGCAGAUGCAGUGAAGAACAUUUGCAAGUGCUUGGGACGAGGUGAAGACGACCACUUUAAAUGGGGCCUGGAGGAAACUGUGUCCACAGUUUGUGCACAGUUUUGAAGGCUUUUGACCAGGCAGAAGACGUCGAGACUGUGACGAGGAAGAUCGUAGGGCUAAGCAAGAGGCUGAAACUAGAUCUUGAACCUGAUGAUGUAACAGAGCUGCUGGCUUCCCAUGGAGAGGAAUUGUCUGCAGAGGACUUACUAGAACUUGAACAACAAAUGAUUGAGGAAGAGGAGGCGGCACCAGAGCCAAAACCCAGGUCAUUAACUGUGAAAGGCUUGUCAGAGGGUUUUACUCAUCUGGAGAGAGCCUUGGCUUCUUUUGAGGCAGAAGACCCUAACGUUUCUAGGUUUGACAAAAUCAGAGAGGAAUCAUGGAUUUGGUGACUUUCUACAAGGAGACCCUGAAGGAGAAGCAGACGAAGAGAAGUGUGCAGUCCAGGCUUGACACUUUCUUUCACAAGUCUCCAGUACCACCACCUCCCACUCCUAGUCCUGGUAAGGAAUUCUGAACUGUUUUACUAAAAUAUGUUAACAUAGUGUACAUAUUAAAAUGUGUUAAUUUUUUAAUGUAACAACUAAAUGUAAGAGUAAAUUGUAACUUCAUUAAUUUUCAUCAUUUGUAAUUUUAUUGCAGAAGUGGUGACAGUUCCAGAUCCCCCUGUACUACUGUGACAGUUCCAGAUCUCCCUGUACUACCUGUGACAGUUCCAGAUCUCCCUGUACUACCUGUGACAGUUCCAGAUCCCCCUGUACCUGGACCCUCUGUAUCAGCCCGCCCACCUGUACGUGUACAAUCAGACCCCUUUGAUAGUGACAGUGACCCAGAUGACCCUGAGCCUUUCCAUGGUUUUGAUGCCUCGCCCUAUACAUCAGAUGUAGAUGUUCCCUCAUCAGUUGAUACGAGUAUCACCUCUCCAGAGCCCAAAUCAGUUGAUACGAGUAGUAUCACCUCUCCCAUUCCUUCAGACUCCCAAGCACCUGCCCAUCCCACUCCAUAGCCCAGCCACCCACUCUCAUGUACCAUAUGGCCAUCCCAGUAAGCAAGCCAACCACUAGAAUUUGACUGGCAUGCACCUGUGACUUACAUAAACCAGACCUCUACAUAGCCUACAUGUCUUCAUUUUGCUGAAG
Macrobrachium nipponense is the source of this 1599-nucleotide long non-coding RNA. RefSeq lists it as uncharacterized. The record is from RefSeq and is a predicted model, not a curated record. Lineage: Eukaryota; Metazoa; Arthropoda; Malacostraca; Decapoda; Palaemonidae. The transcript is spliced from 5 exons.